AAUAAAUACAGUUUUGCACUGUUUAUAUUCAACGUUUGACCGUCCAUUUUAAUUGAAUUUUUUUUAUGAUUAAUAUUUUUAUUAUUAUUAGAUGAUAAAAUAUAAAUAAUAUUUUAUGUGUGACUAAUUUUUAAAAUAGUUUUUUAUAAAACUUUUAAAUAAGACGGAUGGUUAAAUGCUAAAUACGAAAACCCAUGGUUACACUUAAU
Molecule: microRNA precursor, 209 nt
Organism: Oryza sativa Indica Group (long-grained rice)
Lineage: Eukaryota; Viridiplantae; Streptophyta; Magnoliopsida; Poales; Poaceae
Rfam family: MIR812 microRNA precursor family
Source: Rfam